RNAcentral lists this ribosomal RNA (253 nucleotides) under uncultured bacterium. Its description in RNAcentral is "partial 16S ribosomal RNA". It matches the Rfam family "Bacterial small subunit ribosomal RNA", at positions 524 to 776 of the family's 1533-position model. The record is from RNAcentral.
UACAGAGGGUGCUAGCGUUGUUCGGAAUCAUUGGGCGUAAAGGGCGUGUAGGCGGUUUGUUAAGUCAUGUGUGAAAUCCCUCGGCUCAACCGGGGAACGACGCAUGAAACUGGCAAGCUAGAGUACCAAAGAGGGGGGUGGAAUUCCCGGUGUAGCGGUGAAAUGCGUAGAUAUCUCCAAGAACACCGGUUGCGAAGGCGGUCGACUGGGUCCACAUUGACGCUGAGGCUCGAAAGCAUGGGGAGCAAACAGG